UUCGAUUGAUCCUUCGGGUGAUUUUGUUUUAACUUAGUGGCGGACGGGUGAGUAACGCGUGAGCAACCUGCCUCUGCGUGGGGGAUAACGACUGGAAACGGUCGCUAAUACCGCAUAACGUAGCGAGAUCGCAUGUUCUUGCUACCAAAGAUUUAUUGCGCAGAGAUGGGCUCGCGUCUGAUUAGAUAGUUGGUGGGGUAACGGCCUACCAAGUCUGCGAUCAGUAGCCGGACUGAGAGGUUGAACGGCCACACUGGAACUGAGAAACGGUCCAGACUCCUACGGGAGGCAGCAGUGGGGAAUAUUGGGCAAUGGGCGAAAGCCUGACCCAGCGACGCCGCGUGCGGGAAGACGGUCUUCGGAUUGUAAACCGCUGUUGAUAGGGAAGAACAAUGACGGUACCUAUCGAGGAAGUCACGGCUAACUACGUGCCAGCAGCCGCGGUAAUACGUAGGUGGCGAGCGUUAUCCGGAUUUACUGGGUGUAAAGGGUGUGUAGGCGGGAUGGUAAGUCAGAUGUGAAAUCCGGGGGCUCAACCCCCGGCCUGCAUUUGAAACUGCUGUUCUUGAGUGUCGGAGAGGUAAACGGAAUUCCCAGUGUAGCGGUGAAAUGCGUAGAUAUUGGGAGGAACACCAGUGGCGAAGGCGGUUUACUGGACGACAACUGACGCUGAGACACGAAAG
Molecule: ribosomal RNA, 683 nt
Filed under: uncultured bacterium
Lineage: Bacteria
Description: bacterial SSU rRNA
Rfam family: Bacterial small subunit ribosomal RNA
Source: RNAcentral